Molecule: ribosomal RNA, 429 nt
Filed under: Chloroflexota bacterium
Lineage: Bacteria; Bacillati; Chloroflexota
Description: Chloroflexi bacterium partial 16S ribosomal RNA
Rfam family: Bacterial small subunit ribosomal RNA
Source: RNAcentral
UGGGGAAUAUUGCACAAUGGGCGCAAGCCUGAUGCAGCCAUGCCGCGUGUGUGAAGAAGGCCUUCGGGUUGUAAAGCACUUUCAGCGGGGAGGAAGGCGAUAAGGUUAAUAACCUUGUCGAUUGACGUUACCCGCAGAAGAAGCACCGGCUAACUCCGUGCCAGCAGCCGCGAUAAUACGGAGGGUGCAAGCGUUAAUCGGAAUUACUGGGCGUAAAGCGCACGCAGGCGGUCUGUCAAGUCGGAUGUGAAAUCCCCGGGCUCAACCUGGGAACUGCAUUCGAAACUGGCAGGCUAGAGUCUUGUAGAGGGGGGUAGAAUUCCAGGUGUAGCGGUGAAAUGCGUAGAGAUCUGGAGGAAUACCGGUGGCGAAGGCGGCCCCCUGGACAAAGACUGACGCUCAGGUGCGAAAGCGUGGGGAGCAAACAGG